RNAcentral lists this ribosomal RNA (433 nucleotides) under uncultured bacterium. RNAcentral's name for it is "partial 16S ribosomal RNA". It matches the Rfam family "Bacterial small subunit ribosomal RNA", at positions 29 to 507 of the family's 1533-position model. The record is from RNAcentral.
AACGAACGCUGGCGGCAUGCCUAACACAUGCAAGUCGAACGAGACCUUCGGGUCUAGUGGCGCACGGGUGCGUAACGCGUGGGAACCUGCCCUUGGGUUCGGAAUAACUCUCAGAAAGGGGUGCUAAUACCGGAUGAUGUCUUCGGACCAAAGAUUUAUCGCCUUUGGAUGGGCCCGCGUUGGAUUAGCUAGUUGGUAGGGUAAAGGCCUACCAAGGCGACGAUCCAUAGCUGGUCUGAGAGGAUGAUCAGCCACACUGGGACUGAGACACGGCCCAGACUCCUACGGGAGGCAGCAGUGGGGAAUAUUGGACAAUGGGCGAAAGCCUGAUCCAGCAAUGCCGCGUGAGUGAUGAAGGCCUUAGGGUUGUAAAGCUCUUUUACCCGGGAUGAUAAUGACAGUACCGGGAGAAUAAGCGCCGGCUAACUCCGUG